GUUUGAUCAUGGCUCAGGACGAACGCUGGCGGCGUGCCUAACACAUGCAAGUCAACGAGAAAGGGGUAGCAAUAUCCCGAGUAAAGUGGCGCACGGGUGAGUAACACGUAGGCAACCUGCCUUCAGGACGGGGACAACCCCGAGAAAUCGAGGCUAAUACCCGAUUACGUAAUGGUAUCGCAUGAUACCAUUGUUAAAGGCCUUCGGACGCCUGGAGAUGGGCCUGCGUCCCAUUAGGUAGUUGGUGAGGUAAAGGCUCACCAAGCCUGCGAUGGGUAGCUGGUCUGAGAGGAUGACCAGUCACACUGGAACUGAGACACGGUCCAGACUCCUACGGGAGGCAGCAGUGAGGAAUAUUGCGCAAUGGCCGAAAGGCUGACGCAGCGACGCCGCGUGGAGGAUGAAAUCCGUUAGGAUGUAACUCCUUUUGCCGGGGAAGAAUGUCCGCCUAUGGCGGAAGUGACGGUACCUGGCGAAUAAGGAUCGGCUAACUACGUGCCAGCAGCCGCGGUAAUACGU
RNAcentral lists this ribosomal RNA (519 nucleotides) under uncultured bacterium. RNAcentral describes it as "bacterial SSU rRNA". It matches the Rfam family "Bacterial small subunit ribosomal RNA", at positions 11 to 528 of the family's 1533-position model. The record is from RNAcentral.